AUGAUUAGAUUUCCUCUACUAUUCGCAGUUUCCACGCAAGCUGUCACUCGAGCCUUUGUGACGUGCGAUGAGCGCCAAUAUUUUACUUCCAUUGGAUGUAUGA
This 103-nucleotide small nucleolar RNA is filed under the name Colletotrichum higginsianum. RNAcentral describes it as "small nucleolar RNA SNORD14". Lineage: Eukaryota; Fungi; Ascomycota; Sordariomycetes; Glomerellales; Glomerellaceae. The record is from RNAcentral.